CGUACACUCCUACGGGAGGCAGCAGUGGGGAAUAUUGGACAAUGGGCGCAAGCCUGAUCCAGCCAUGCCGCGUGAGUGAUGAAGGCCCUAGGGUUGUAAAGCUCUUUCACCGGUGAAGAUAAUGACGGUAACCGGAGAAGAAGCCCCGGCUAACUUCGUGCCAGCAGCCGCGGUAAUACGAAGGGGGCUAGCGUUGUUCGGAUUUACUGGGCGUAAAGCGCACGUAGGCGGACUAUUAAGUCAGGGGUGAAAUCCCGGGGCUCAACCCCGGAACUGCCUUUGAUACUGGUAGUCUUGAGUUCGAGAGAGGUGAGUGGAAUUCCGAGUGUAGAGGUGAAAUUCGUAGAUAUUCGGAGGAACACCAGUGGCGAAGGCGGCUCACUGGCUCGAUACUGACGCUGAGGUGCGAAAGCGUGGGGAGCAAACAGGAUUAGAAACCCGUGUAGUCCCAUGAU
RNAcentral lists this ribosomal RNA (455 nucleotides) under uncultured organism. Its description in RNAcentral is "partial 16S ribosomal RNA". It matches the Rfam family "Bacterial small subunit ribosomal RNA", at positions 330 to 801 of the family's 1533-position model. The record is from RNAcentral.